UUGGCGUGGAAUUUUGGUGACAAUAGGGCGAAAGCCUGAUCCAGCCAUGCCGCGUGUGUGAAGAAGGCUUCGGAUUGUAAAGCACUUUUGUUGGGAGGAAGGGCACUGAGUUAAUACCUUGCUGUUUUGACGUUACCGACAGAAUAAGCACCGGCUAACUUCGUGCCAGCAGCCGCGGUAAUAAA
This 185-nucleotide ribosomal RNA is filed under the name uncultured Pseudomonas sp. RNAcentral's name for it is "partial 16S ribosomal DNA". It matches the Rfam family "Bacterial small subunit ribosomal RNA", at positions 351 to 528 of the family's 1533-position model. The record is from RNAcentral. Lineage: Bacteria; Pseudomonadati; Pseudomonadota; Gammaproteobacteria; Pseudomonadales; Pseudomonadaceae.